This 218-nucleotide ribosomal RNA is filed under the name Chloropicon mariensis. RNAcentral describes it as "partial Bacterial large subunit ribosomal RNA". It matches the Rfam family "Bacterial large subunit ribosomal RNA", at positions 216 to 437 of the family's 2925-position model. Lineage: Eukaryota; Viridiplantae; Chlorophyta; Chloropicophyceae; Chloropicales; Chloropicaceae. The record is from RNAcentral.
GAAGAGAAAAUAAUAAUGAUUUCCUAAGUAGUGGCGAGCGAACGGGGAAGAGCCCAAACCGGGGGAGCGUGCUCCUUCGGGGUUGUAGGACUGCAUUUAGAAACACUCAUCAAGCUGAAGCUUCUGGAAAGGGGCGCCACAGGGCGUGAAAGCCGCGUAAGCGUACAUUGAGUGGGACGAGCAGUAUCCUGAGUAGGGCGGGACCGGAGAAAUCCUGC